Molecule: long non-coding RNA, 2950 nt
Filed under: Equus caballus (horse)
Lineage: Eukaryota; Metazoa; Chordata; Mammalia; Perissodactyla; Equidae
Description: lncRNA (ENSECAG00000048472.1)
Source: RNAcentral
GCGGCGAGAGGCCCCGCCCGGGACCCGGGACCCGCCUCCGGCUCGGGGGCCGAGGCUGGGACUCUCGGGCUCGGAGGCAGACGGCGUCGCUCCUGCGGACCGAGACGCGGCGCGGCCUGCAAGCUCGGAGGGGCCGUCCGCGCUGGAGGCCUCCGGGGGCGCCGCCUGGAGAAGCCUCUUGCACUGCUCCCAGCACGUCCUCGUCGGUCUGGAGUUCACAGCUGCCCCGGAAAAGUGAACGCGCUCAAAGCCUGCACGCCCCGUCUGCUACAUUCUAACGGAACCCGGGAUUUCAGACCUGAAGUCAUUUAAACUGAAUUCGCUGAAAUGCCAAGCAAAUAAAACGACUAACGGCUUUUUAAAACGGCUAUUAGGGCUGCGUGAGCGGGGGGAGAAUUGCUUCCUGGAAAUGUGCUGAUGGGACAACUAUAGAAAGCAUUGGUCUUUGUUUUUAGCUAUUAAAAGCUGUAAAUCUAAACCGCUCAGAGGAAGAUUGAGCGGAGAUGAUGGAACCCGAUCCAUUGGAGAUCCUGAUACUAACCUGCCUCGUGUUAAAGCCAGACCAGCCAAGGACACCGGGAGGAAGCCUGCGAUGCGCGGACGUCAGGCGGCUGUGGAAGUGGGAAGGAGGGGCACUCCCGGGGAAGCGAGCAUCCCGCUGGAAAAGGGAGCAUGAAGCUGUUUCGUAAGGUUUAGGCUCCCACCAAACGAGUCAGGAGGGUCUAGGAGUGCGGGGAUCCGCUCUGGACUGGACGCUGUUUCUGAGGCAGGAUUAGGAAAAGCGGAGGUUAACCAGGGAUUGGAUGCUGUCUGAGGAGAAGACCGUUUAGGAACUGGGUACGCCCGGUAAUAAAUGAAAAUAGCAAAGUGGGCCUGAGCCUCCUUGGUGAGAAAGCGAAGAGAGGUGAUCUGGCAUUUUCCAGCUGCCGCUUGGCAGCAGGAAAAACACGAUUCUCUGUUAACUUUGCAGCCGGCUUUGUGUCCGUCCUCCCAGCACUGCUGUUUUUUCUCAUUUCAGCCUGAGCUGGAUUUUAUUCUUUUGCUUUUAAAUUCUUUAAAACCAAGAAUUUUCACUCUUUGACCAAGCGUGCAGAACUAGGCAGAAUUAGGGUUCUGCCUUUGUAGCUCCAAGCUGCUUUCAGUCCCAUUCUAACAUGGAAAGAAGUAAUUUUCACUUCAGCAGUUCAGUUUUCAUCUUGCCUCUCCUUAUUCUAACGUCAUGCGUUUACUGGGAAUAGAGAAAAGAUGGGAAUAAAGAAAGGAAACAGUCAAGAAGUUAGGAGAUGGGGUAAAGAAGGUAUUGAAUUGUAGAAGAGUGAAGAAACUAGUCCUGGGGAACAUAAAAGGAUGUUUCAUGGCUGCCCUUGUUUUAGGAACACUGGGGCAGGAGUAUGAGGAGGCAUUUUCAAAAAUUGGAGAAUGUUUAACCUUUCUCAGUGAUCCUAGGCUCACAGAGAUCCCAAAUGGAAAGAUCAAGGGCCAAAUUCAGCCAGCAAAAAUGUUUCACUUGGCCCACAUGGUAGUUUUCUAAAUAUAUUUUAAGUACAUACUAAAAUUCAAUAAAUCAGGACAUUUCACUUUAAAAUCUAGAUUUCUAGUUUAUCUGGAAAACACGAGAUCUGGGCCUCUUUACUGGGUCUCUAUUGGGCCUAUGGUGUGCUUCACUCAUUUUCAUUACCUGCCUGGCUGCUAUAGAAGUUUUUUUGUGACUUCUGAGAAUUCUACAACUUAAACAGAGAAAAUACUAAAAGUAGGUGAAAAGAAGUUGAACAAUUCAACUAGAGUCCAUGUCUGCCUUGUUCACUACUGUAAGAUAGUAAUUAAAUCAUUAUUAAAUGAAGAAAGAAAGAAACCAGGAAUAAGAGCAGCCAUUCUCAGGAAAAUAUGUUGAAACUGAGCUUUGGGCUGUGUUCAGUAUGGACUAAAAUGAACCCUAGAGAUACAGUCAGAGUCUGUGUUGGUAACUAUAGAGUUCUUAUCUACACCCAGAUUUGAAACAAUAUAUUCAGGGUACUGUAAAGGACAGCUGAGAAAGCGGGCAUGUCAAUGGAUAGAAUGGCGAAAGAAUUGCUUAGAUUAGGGAGGAAUGAAGAAUAGUUGCUGAAAGAGAAUAAAAUACAAAGACAAAAUGGACCUAGUUAGAGAAGAAUUGUGAAAUGGAUUUAGAAGCAGACGGAUUGAAAGCAAUGGGGAAUUAUUGUAUGGAUGUGGCUUCAUACGUAACUUCAGAGACUACUGAAGCUAGUCUAAAGCUAGACUGCUGGAGCUAAAGACAGCAUUAGAGAUCAUCCAGUUCUAGUCCAACUCCAACAUUUCACAAAUGGGGAGAUGAUGGUCGGGGAAUUUAAGAAAGCUGCUUAAAGUCACAAAACUAGUGUUGUAGGGCACCUCUGCCCAAAGAGACCCCAUGAACACCUGCAAGUGGAGACGUGGGAGAGGAUCUGAGGAAGGCACAACUAAAGAAGCUUGAGACCCUCCUCUCAACUACGACAGCGAUCGGAGGAAGCCCUUCUCAUAUGUGGAUGCCCGUUUUUCUGGGGAGAGAGUCUACAGCUUUCCUCAGAUUUUCAAGUGGGUAUAUGAUCCAAAAACGGCUGCUCAAAUCUAGGAACGUUUAAAAUGUAAAAGCCACAUUUUUAGAAGUAUUACUUCCUUUUACAUAAAUGAACAUUCAUACUAGGGACUUUUUACUAUAUUAUUACAUUAUUUACAUGAGAUUAAUUUAUAUGAGUGGUUUGUAAAUGAUAGUCUCCAUGAGGACAAGAAUACCAAUCCUAUACAUAAUACUUAGCAUACUGCAUCCUCAUUGUAGUUAUUCUAUAAUUAUUUGUUAAAUGAAUGAAUAACGAAUGAAGAAGAUAAGAAAAAAGGAAAGCAUGAACAACAUUCCACAUAAUUUAUUUCCCCUAUGGGGAAAAAGAUAAAGUUAAACCAACUUUGUUAGGAUUCA